Equus asinus (donkey) is the source of this 1300-nucleotide long non-coding RNA. The record is from Ensembl. NCBI's taxonomy places the organism in Eukaryota, Metazoa, Chordata, Mammalia, Perissodactyla, Equidae.
GGCAGAUCUCGGUUUUGACACUCCGGAUUCCACUCUUGCUCCAGAGUUUACGUGGUGGUUUGCCCUGCCAGCUCAGUUCUGUGAGGAGUCCAAAACAUGGGUGGAUUCAGUUUUUCCAGCGUUUUCUUGCUUUAAGGAUGGGAUUGGUGAUCUCUGCCCUCUCUAUAUGUUGGGGCUGAAACCAGAAGUUUUAUUUGUGACCAUUUUUGAAAUAUGCCACAAUCAGUAUAAGCCUAUGAUUUUCAAAUAUCAUGGGCAUAAUUGGAAAUACCGGCUACAUUAGCAAGGCUUUGACUAGAAGGUCAUAUUCAAAUAAGAUGUACAUAGAUUCAGAAAUGACUAGACACCUUUAAGGAACUGCUUGCAAAAAUUGGCCUGGUACCUUGCUUAUAAGGUUUCGGUAAAGCAACCUUAAAAAAAAAAAAAAAAGAGCUUAUACGGUCAAUCACUAUUUUUGCUGUAUUUGUCAUAAAUAAUAAAUGAUUUAUUAUGAAAAUAAUGAUUUUCUGACGCUUACAACCUUGGACAACUGUAGACUUUGAAUAAGAGAUGCCUGAGAGUUCUCCCUCCUAACCUUCCUUGUUACUCAAACGUGGCCUAAAUGGUUUCCAACCACUAUGCGCUUUCCCUCCAACGGGGGGCAUGACAACCAGAAGGGGUCCUUCCUGGCACUGAGGCACAAAACCACUAUGCACAGAGAACCUGACUCUUGAUCAGCGAUGCUUUCGGAGAAAGAUCUUGAUCAAAAGGGAAAAUAUGAAAACUAAUAGAGGGAAACCUCAUUCAAAAUGGAGUCAGGGAGCCAGAAGGCGGAGCUCCCUUGCAGUACCAAUGGAGGUCAAUUACGGGAAAGACAGUCAAUUACAGAUCCCAACACAAAGAAGUCGUCAAUAGGGGAAAAUCAUUAAUUACAGGAAGAAGUGUACAUUGCAUCCCAAACAGAAACCGACUACCCCAGAAACUCAGCCCAUGAGAAACCAUCACCACCAUGAACUCUUGCUUUUCUCCAAUGGACUUUUGUUCAAAACAACCCCUCCCAAUUUUCUUCUUUUCCUCUACAAAUUAACAUUCCUCUCCCUUGGUUGUUGCAUUUGCCUAUGGUCUGCCAUAGCGUGCACGUCCUGAAUUGCAAUUCCCUGGCUAUUCCCAAAUAAACUCGUUUUGCUGGUAAAAUAACUGGCUGCUUUACUUUUAAGAUUGACACCAUACAUGGACUUCUGACCUCCAGAACUGUGAGCUAGUGAGUAGACGUUGUUUUUAAGUGGCUAAGUUUAUGGCAGUUUGUUAUGCGGGAAUAGAC